Molecule: non-coding RNA, 121 nt
Organism: Picea glauca (white spruce)
Lineage: Eukaryota; Viridiplantae; Streptophyta; Pinopsida; Pinales; Pinaceae
Source: Rfam
UAAUGUGAUUCCUAUAUCAUUAAUGCAUCGGAUCUCGUUAGAAAUCUACAACUAAGCAUGCUCAGGCUAGAGUAGUACUAGGAUGGGUGGCCUCCCAGGAAGUCCUAGUGUUUUACAUGCC